Syngnathus acus (greater pipefish) is the source of this 575-nucleotide long non-coding RNA. RefSeq lists it as uncharacterized. The transcript has 4 exons. The record is from RefSeq and is a predicted model, not a curated record. NCBI's taxonomy places the organism in Eukaryota, Metazoa, Chordata, Actinopteri, Syngnathiformes, Syngnathidae.
UUUAGGAGCAUCCCAUCGCCAUCCCGAGGAUUAUGUUUUCAUCUCGGAUUACAUAUGGCAAUAUUAAGAAAGGGACACGGGCUGCGGCGUUAAUGGCGAUGGGUUAAUACUCAGCACUUAACUCCAUUUAAAAGCCUUUCGUCCCAGCUGAGUUGGGUACACAAUCAGAUCAGCAGGACGUUGGGACAACCUCAGCCGCAGCAAAGCGAAGAUUCCGUUCAUCAUCGACUGACUUUUGAUGUGGUUUUGUGCGCAGAAGAAGAGCGUCAUGCUGGGAUGAUUCCAUAUAGGUAGACCAUAGCAAUUUCCGGACAUCAUGAGUUCAUCACAGCGAGGACAAAGGGAAGAACCGCACAAGUCAAUCCCUACAUCUGCUUCAAUGCAACAACGACAUUUUGCUGAGCAGCAGGAGACAAAAACGUUUCAACAUGAGGGCUUGGCCCCUCAGAUUUCAGUGACCCAGAGCACUCCGGACAUGAACAGGAAGCUGCUCUUGUUGCCCGGCAACCAGUGUCAAGCCCACGCGAGUUCCAGCAAGGUGCAGUCGCCCGAGGAACAGCAAAAGUUGACGAAUC